UACGUAUGUCGCAAGCGUUAUCCGGAUUUAUUGGGCGUAAAGCGCGUCUAGGCGGUUUGGUAAGUCUGAUGUGAAAAUGCGGGGCUCAACUCCGUAUUGCGUUGGAAACUGCUAAACUAGAGUACUGGAGAGGUGGGCGGAACUACAAGUGUAGAGGUGAAAUUCGUAGAUAUUUGUAGGAAUGCCGAUGGGGAAGCCAGCCCACUGGACAGAUACUGACGCUAAAGCGCGAAAGCGUGGGUAGCAAACAGG
RNAcentral lists this ribosomal RNA (252 nucleotides) under Fusobacterium mortiferum. RNAcentral describes it as "partial 16S ribosomal RNA". It matches the Rfam family "Bacterial small subunit ribosomal RNA", at positions 524 to 776 of the family's 1533-position model. The record is from RNAcentral. Lineage: Bacteria; Fusobacteriati; Fusobacteriota; Fusobacteriia; Fusobacteriales; Fusobacteriaceae.